GAGAUGUCUGGGGAAUCUUGUGAGGAUAGGUGGACUCAGCUUUGUUAGUGGAGAAAUCUUUGGCAGGUGGUCUUUAUCUUUUAGUACAGGUGGCUUCUGUAGAAGAUCGCAUCAUUUAGCUUUGAGUCACAUCUUCUUUUCUUUAAGUCGUAUCUGCUUUUCUUUACGUCACAUCCUCUUUAAGUCACAUCUGCUUUUCUUUAAGUCACAUCUACUUUUCUUUAAAUCACAUCUGCUUUUCUUUAAGUCACAUCCACUUUUCUUUAAGUCACAUUUGCUUUGCUUUUUGUCACAUCUGUCUUCCUUUUUGCCAUAUCUACCGGAUGAAGGAGAAUCUUUGGUAUGUACAUUCAAGAUUUUGGUAAGUUAAUACAGAAUAUAUUUCUGGGACAUUCCAUGUUCUGAUUGGUCUGGUGAGUCAGGUGGCGCUUCUAUUUCAGGAGUGCUGGCUGUACCGGAUGUGUCAUGUAUUUGGGCAAUUUCUGCCUCUUCUUCAAACAUUUUCAUUAAUUGUUUCUCUAAUUCUUUCUUGGUGGCUUUGAGAUUGUACUUUUUCAUCAUGGUAAUAUAUUCUGCCAAACUAUUUGGGUUGGAGUAUGAAUGUGAGCCAUAUGCAAAAGGGAUUUGUUUUAGCUGUAUAUUUUCUAGUUCAAUAUUAUGGUAGACAAAGACGUCCCAUC
Molecule: long non-coding RNA, 680 nt
Filed under: Amborella trichopoda
Lineage: Eukaryota; Viridiplantae; Streptophyta; Magnoliopsida; Amborellales; Amborellaceae
Description: long non-coding RNA (ATRI_LNC001600)
Source: RNAcentral